AACGAACGCUGGCGGCAUGCCUAACACAUGCAAGUCGAACGAGACCUUCGGGUCUAGUGGCGCACGGGUGCGUAACGCGUGGGAAUCUACCCUCAGGUUCGGAAUAACUCAGAGAAAUUUGAGCUAAUACCGGAUGAUGACGUAAGUCCAAAGAUUUAUCGCCUGAGGAUGAGCCCGCUUAGGAUUAGGUAGUUGGUGAGGUAAAGGCUCACCAAGCCGACGAUCCUUAGCUGGUCUGAGAGGAUGAUCAGCCACACUGGGACUGAGACACGGCCCAGACUCCUACGGGAGGCAGCAGUGGGGAAUAUUGGACAAUGGGCGAAAGCCUGAUCCAGCAAUGCCGCGUGAGUGAUGAGGGCCUUAGGGUUGUAAAGCUCUUUUACCCGGGAUGAUAAUGACAGUACCGGGAGAAUAAGCUCCGGCUAACUCCGUG
This 433-nucleotide ribosomal RNA is filed under the name uncultured bacterium. RNAcentral describes it as "partial 16S ribosomal RNA". It matches the Rfam family "Bacterial small subunit ribosomal RNA", at positions 29 to 507 of the family's 1533-position model. The record is from RNAcentral.